GGUGUUGCAUGGCUGUCGUCAGCUCGUGUCGUGAGAUGUUGGGUUAAGUCCCGCAACGAGCGCAACCCUCAUCCUUAGUUACCAUCAGGUAAUGCUGGGGACUUUAAGGAAACUGCCAGUGAUAAACUGGAGGAAGGUGGGGAUGAUGUCAAGUCAUCAUGGCCUUUNNNGAGUGGGCUACACACGUGCUACAAUGGUGGCUACAAUGGGCUGCAAAGUCGCGAGGCUAAGCUAAUCCCUUAAAAGCCAUCUCAGUUCGGAUUGUACUCUGCAACUCGAGUGCAUGAAGUUGGAAUCGCUAGUAAUCGUGGAUCAGCACGCCACGGUGAAUACGUUCCCGGGUCUUGUACACAC
RNAcentral lists this ribosomal RNA (354 nucleotides) under uncultured bacterium. Its description in RNAcentral is "bacterial SSU rRNA". It matches the Rfam family "Bacterial small subunit ribosomal RNA", at positions 1037 to 1390 of the family's 1533-position model. The record is from RNAcentral.